CAGCCGCCGCGGUAAUACGAAGGGUGCAAGCGUUAAUCGGAAUUAUUGGGCGUAAAGCGUGCGUAGGCGGUUUGUUAAGUCCGUUGUGAAAUCUAUGGGCUCAACCCAUAGUCUGCACAGGAAACUGUCGGGCUUGAGAGUGGGAGAGGUGAGUGGAAUUUCCGGUGUAGCGGUGAAAUGCGUAGAUAUCGGAAGGAACACCUGUGGCGAAAGCGGCUCACUGGACCAUUUCUGACGCUGAUGCACGAAAGCUAGGGGAGCAAACAGGAUUAGAUACCCGAGUAGUCCCUGUCUCUUAUAA
This 301-nucleotide ribosomal RNA is filed under the name uncultured bacterium. Its description in RNAcentral is "partial 16S ribosomal RNA". It matches the Rfam family "Bacterial small subunit ribosomal RNA", at positions 509 to 809 of the family's 1533-position model. The record is from RNAcentral.